UCUUCAGGAUCGCUAGGGUUCCGGUCGUGCGGCAUGUGCCGUGCGAUGUCUGGUCCGAGAGCAAUCCGGUCUUGCCUUCGCCUCGAUGAGAGGAAACGGCGAGGCUCCACGGAGGGAUAAAAGCCCGGGAGGU
This 133-nucleotide small RNA is filed under the name Burkholderia cenocepacia J2315. RNAcentral's name for it is "BCASr0269B". It matches the Rfam family "Guanidine-I riboswitch aptamer". Rfam says of the family: This family represents a conserved RNA structure found upstream of the ykkC and yxkD genes in Bacillus subtilis and related genes in other bacteria. Lineage: Bacteria; Pseudomonadati; Pseudomonadota; Betaproteobacteria; Burkholderiales; Burkholderiaceae. The record is from RNAcentral.